Molecule: non-coding RNA, 720 nt
Organism: Misgurnus anguillicaudatus (oriental weatherfish)
Lineage: Eukaryota; Metazoa; Chordata; Actinopteri; Cypriniformes; Cobitidae
Source: RefSeq, a predicted model, not a curated record
AAAUCAUUCAGAAGAGAUGCUGUUUUUAUGUCAGUUUAUUAAAGAAGACCUGACAUGGAUGACUUCCAAUGAGAAACGACUGCUAAUACUUAUAUAAAUUUAUUACAGAAGGACCCUACCAGACUAUAUUUGAAUACGGCAUACCCAUGAAUUCUGGAACUUUUAUUUCUUAACCCAGUUUGGAGGAUAAGAGCUUACCAACUAGUUAUAAAUAUGCUGAAGCGAUGUAUUGCAAAAUAGCCAACAUACAACAAUUAAAGGAUAAUUGCAGACUAUAUCCUGAUGAAGAUAUGGAUGACCCUCUGUCUGGUCAACAGGAGUUUAAAUAUGGACGGGACAGUGAUGUGGCAGCUCUUCCCUGACUCAUUCACUUCUUGCCUUCAUUUGUGAAAGGAAGAAAGACUGGAGAGGGUCAAUGUGCAACUGAAGCUACUGAUUGUGCUGUGUGAUGAGCAUCAAUCCAUGCUUUGAGGGGGAUGAAUCAGCACAGCCCUGCCUGCUCUGCGUUGGGAACAAAAGUUGCAUCCAGAAUUUUUGCAUCAUUCUGGACCAAAAAGCCAUUCCCUCCAUGAUGAAGACCACUGAUGCAGCCUUCCACUACUGUACAGUAAAACAACUACAGAACUAAAUACCAGGUUGGAACGUGUUUAAGAAAAAUGAAACGUCUUUUGAAUUGAAAUGUCUGUUUUGUUAUGGAAAAAAUCUUUAGUAUUGUGAAGG